RNAcentral lists this non-coding RNA (269 nucleotides) under Candidatus Nitromaritima sp. SCGC AAA799-C22. Lineage: Bacteria; Pseudomonadati; Nitrospinota; Nitrospinia; Nitrospinales; Nitrospinaceae. RNAcentral also lists the same sequence under 1 other name. The record is from RNAcentral.
UGUUCUGGGAUGAGUCCGGUUCGUUUUCAUAUCCAGACGUUCCGGUUAAGGGAAGUCGGUUAAAUUCCGGCGCUGUCCCGCAACUGUGAAGGGAACGAAAACCGCGGUCGGCCACUGUCCGAAUGGAUGGGAAGGUGCGGUGAGUAGGCGGAAAAUCAGGAAUGGCUCGCGUGGGCGUAACUGUUUUAAUCCCGUUGCUGUUCUAACUUUUUCCACCGGGCGUUGCCCGGGCCCCAAGCCAGGAGACCUGGCCGGAACGGAAACACCUU